RNAcentral lists this ribosomal RNA (561 nucleotides) under Botryosphaeria dothidea. Its description in RNAcentral is "eukaryotic LSU rRNA". The stretch from base 188 to 341 matches the Rfam family "5.8S ribosomal RNA". The record is from RNAcentral. Lineage: Eukaryota; Fungi; Ascomycota; Dothideomycetes; Botryosphaeriales; Botryosphaeriaceae.
GGGCUUUCCAGAGUUGAUUCGGGCUCGGCCCGAUCCUCCCACCCUUUGUGUACCUACCUCUGUUGCUUUGGCGGGCCGCGGUCCUCCGCGGCCGCCCCCCUCCCCGGGGGGGUGGCCAGCGCCCGCCAGAGGACCAUCAAACUCCAGUCAGUAAACGAUGCAGUCUGAAAAACAUUUAAUAAACUAAAACUUUCAACAACGGAUCUCUUGGUUCUGGCAUCGAUGAAGAACGCAGCGAAAUGCGAUAAGUAAUGUGAAUUGCAGAAUUCAGUGAAUCAUCGAAUCUUUGAACGCACAUUGCGCCCUUUGGUAUUCCGAAGGGCAUGCCUGUUCGAGCGUCAUUACAACCCUCAAGCUCUGCUUGGUAUUGGGCACCGUCCUUUGCGGGCGCGCCUCAAAGACCUCGGCGGUGGCGUCUUGCCUCAAGCGUAGUAGAACAUACAUCUCGCUUCGGAGCGCAGGGCGUCGCCCGCCGGACGAACCUUCUGAACUUUUCUCAAGGUUGACCUCGGAUCAGGUAGGGAUACCCGCUGAACUUAAGCAUAUCAAUAAGCGGAGGAA